This 404-nucleotide ribosomal RNA is filed under the name uncultured bacterium. RNAcentral's name for it is "bacterial SSU rRNA". It matches the Rfam family "Bacterial small subunit ribosomal RNA", at positions 107 to 529 of the family's 1533-position model. The record is from RNAcentral.
UGAGUAACGCGUGGGUAACCUGCCCUAUACACACGGAUAACAUACCGAAAGGUAUGCUAAUACGAGAUGACAUAAGAGAUUCGCAUGGAUUUCUUAUCAAAGCUUUUGCGGUAUAGGAUGGACCCGCGUCUGAUUAGCUAGUUGGUAAGGUAACGGCUUACCAAGGCGACGAUCAGUAGCCGACCUGAGAGGGUGAUCGGCCACAUUGGAACUGAGACACGGUCCAAACUCCUACGGGAGGCAGCAGUGGGGAAUAUUGCACAAUGGGCGAAAGCCUGAUGCAGCAACGCCGCGUGAGCGAUGAAGGCCUUCGGGUCGUAAAGCUCUGUCCUCAAGGAAGAUAAUGACGGUACUUGAGGAGGAAGCCCCGGCUAACUACGUGCCAGCAGCCGCGGUAAUACGUA